Molecule: long non-coding RNA, 502 nt
Filed under: Vigna radiata
Lineage: Eukaryota; Viridiplantae; Streptophyta; Magnoliopsida; Fabales; Fabaceae
Description: long non-coding RNA (VRAD_LNC003639)
Source: RNAcentral
UGCCUUUCGUUGAUGACAUUUAUAUAAUGCAUUUCAAUGAAUUAAUGUUAGUGGGUUACAGCCUUUUGAGUUUUAUUUUUUUUACCAUUGUUGCGUGAUGCUUAUUAUUCCAACUCAAGCUAUGGCCAUUACUUGCAUUCACCAUGUUGUUUCAUGUCUCAUUAAACCAUAUGUAAUGCAUGUCUAAUUAGUUGCUGGCACUUUUUUUUUAUUUUUUAUUUUUCAUUUUAUUUUAUUUUUCUUUUCAUUUCCUUUUUUUUAGUGACUUAUCUUUAAUUUUUAUUUUAAUUUUAGUCUACACUUUAAUGUUUUUAACUAAGCUAGUUAGGUUUAAUUUGCGUGUUUUAAUUUAGUCUUAUUGCAUUCACAAAACACUUUCAAACCCCCCUACUGUGUGUGUGACCUAAAUUUCUGAAUCGCAAUUGGUCCUUGAGAGACGACCUAGGAGUCACUUCCUAGUUAUACUGCAUUCCUAAUUUGCAAUCAAAUUUGUAUGGGCUGC